Molecule: ribosomal RNA, 253 nt
Filed under: uncultured bacterium
Lineage: Bacteria
Description: partial 16S ribosomal RNA
Rfam family: Bacterial small subunit ribosomal RNA
Source: RNAcentral
CACGUAGGGGACGAGCGUUGUCCGGAAUCAUUGGGCGUAAAGCGCGCGUAGGCGGCCCGGAAAGUCGGAUGUGAAAUCCCGGGGCUCAACCCCGGGCCUGCAUCCGAUACUCCCGGGCUGGAGGCAGGUAGGGGAGAUCGGAAUUCCUGGUGUAGCGGUGAAAUGCGCAGAUAUCAGGAAGAACACCUAUGGCGAAAGCAGCUCUCUGGGACGGUACUGACGCUGAGACGCGAAAGCGUGGGGAGCGAACAGG